AAGUCGUAACAAGGUUUCCGUAGGUGAACCUGCGGAAGGAUCAUUAGUGAAUUUUUGUAAAGGGGUUGUGCUGGCUCUUGCAAGUGCACGCCUCAAUACACUCACACCUGUGCACCCGUUUGACGGAAGCUCCUUUCUUUGUUGAAGGGGGUGGAUGUCCUUUACACACACGCAUAGUCAUAUUUAGAUUGGUGGUAUUUGAAAAUGUAAUGACAACUUUCAACAACGGAUCUCUUGGCUCUC
This 243-nucleotide unclassified non-coding RNA is filed under the name Phylloporus sp. RNAcentral describes it as "partial contains small subunit ribosomal RNA, internal transcribed spacer 1, and 5.8S ribosomal RNA". The stretch from base 1 to 46 matches the Rfam family "Eukaryotic small subunit ribosomal RNA", at positions 1786 to 1831 of the family's 1831-position model. The record is from RNAcentral. Lineage: Eukaryota; Fungi; Basidiomycota; Agaricomycetes; Boletales; Boletaceae.